UUUCGCAAUGCCCGAAAGGGUGACGAAGCAACGCCGCGUGUGGGAAGAAGGCCUUCGGGUUGUAAACCACUGUCGGGAGUUAGGAAAUGCAGGUGCGUUAAUAGCGCACUUGCUUGACUAAGGCUCCAGAGGAAGCCACGGCUAACUCUGUGCCAGCAGCCGCGGUAAUACAGAGGCGGCAAGCGUUGUUCGGAAUUAUUGGGCGUAAAGAGCACGUAGGCGGCCUUGCAAGUCAGUUGUGAAAGCCUUCCGCUUAACGGAAGAACGGCAUCUGAUACUACAGGGCUUGAGUACGGGAGGGGAGAGUGGAACUUCUGGUGGAGCGGUGAAAUGCGUAGAUAUCAGAAGGAACGCCGGCGGCGAAAGCGACUCUCUGGUCCGAAACUGACGCUGAGUGUGCGAAAGCUAGGGGAGCAAACGGGAUUAGAUACCCCGGUAGUCCUAGCCGUAAACGAUGGGCACUAAGUAGAGGGGUUUU
Molecule: ribosomal RNA, 478 nt
Filed under: uncultured Planctomycetales bacterium
Lineage: Bacteria; Pseudomonadati; Planctomycetota; Planctomycetia; Planctomycetales
Description: bacterial SSU rRNA
Rfam family: Bacterial small subunit ribosomal RNA
Source: RNAcentral